GUGGGUAUAGCUCAGUGGUAGAGUGUGUGCUUAGCCUGCACGAGGUCCUGGGCUCAAUCCCCCAGUACCUCCA
RNAcentral lists this transfer RNA (73 nucleotides) under Camelus bactrianus (Bactrian camel). It matches the Rfam family "tRNA". From Rfam's summary of the family: Transfer RNA (tRNA) molecules are approximately 80 nucleotides in length. Their secondary structure includes four short double-helical elements and three loops (D, anti-codon, and T loops). Lineage: Eukaryota; Metazoa; Chordata; Mammalia; Artiodactyla; Camelidae. The record is from Rfam by way of RNAcentral. RNAcentral also lists the same sequence under 2 other names.